This 374-nucleotide ribosomal RNA is filed under the name Lumbricillus buelowi. Its description in RNAcentral is "partial 12S ribosomal RNA". It matches the Rfam family "Microsporidia small subunit ribosomal RNA", at positions 752 to 1212 of the family's 1311-position model. The record is from RNAcentral. Lineage: Eukaryota; Metazoa; Annelida; Clitellata; Enchytraeida; Enchytraeidae.
UUAAGACAUAAUUAUUUACCGGUCAAUACGAACUAUUGUUUAAAAUCCAAAGAAUUUGGCGGUGUCUCAUUCUAUCAGGGGAACCUGUUACUUAAUUCGAUAUUCCACGAAACUCUAUCCAUACUUUGAAUACCAGCCUGUGUACUGCUGUCGCCAGUAAACCUCUAAAAGAAAGUUUACAAUUUUACUUCAUUGUAUUCACGUCAAGUCAAAGUGCAGCCUAUAGUAUGGAGUAAAAUGGGUUACAAUCUUUAUAAAGAUACAAAUAGAAAUAAUAAAAAUUUCUUGAAGGUGGACUUGACAGUAAUGCUUAAAAAAUAUUAGCAUAAAUAAGUACCUGAGACAUGCACACAUCGCCCGUCACUCUCAUCUUA